Molecule: small RNA, 2103 nt
Filed under: Pongo abelii (Sumatran orangutan)
Lineage: Eukaryota; Metazoa; Chordata; Mammalia; Primates; Hominidae
Description: processed transcript
Source: RNAcentral
CUCUGGGGAGAGAAAGGUGAUUGCUUAAGAGGUGAAGCCCCUUAGAGCAUUCAAAAUGAGGAGUGAUUUUGUACAGAGGACAUCAUGCAGCAGGCUGGAUGUCUAGUUCCAAUUCCUUUAUUUGUUACCUCUGGGACCUUGAAGAAGUAGUUUCUAGUCUCGGCAUACCAAAGCUUCAUCUGCAAGUGAGAGCAUUGGACUGAUGAUCUUCAAGGUCCUUCCUCCUCUAACAUUCACUGAAUCUGCUAUUUUUGACAUAUUGAAUAAUCAGAAGCAGCCAAUUUUAGUAUCUUAUUAUAGCAAAAGUGGUAAAAAUAAUGAGCAUAUACUAUCAAUGUGCAUCUAUGUCUUCUUAUGUUUGAGUGAGGAUCCCGAUAUAUAAACCUUGGCUGAUAAUUUCUACUGAAAAAAAUCAUAAGUAUUAAAGACACUCUACUGAAGAUGUUCUCUCCAGACUCUCCUACAGGCAAUCAUGAGCAAGAGGGUUGGCAUCAUCGGAGCUGGAGUCAGUGGCUUGGCUGCCAUACGGUGCUGUCUGGAGGAGGGGUUGGAGCCCACUUGCUUUGAAAGGAGCAAUGAUGUUGGAGGCCUGUGGAAAUUCUUGGUGAGUGGCACAUCAUUAGAACACCAGUGAAGGAGAUGGGUUCCAAUGCAAAUCAAAUCUGAUCAGUUCUAAUUCAGAUUUAGAAGGCAGAUCACAAAAGCUCCAAAUCUGGAAAGUAAAAUCUUACCCUCCAAUCAUACUAAUGCCCAAAAAACUAUUUCACACCAGCAAAAUUUGUCCUGAAAAGGACAUUUUCAGCUCAUUAAACAUCAUCACCUGCAUGGUGAAAUCCAGAUCUCCAAGCUGUAAAGGGCACUAAUGUUAGUAAUUAGUCAAAAAUAUACUAUGGCCUUCCCAGGACAUCACGUAUACCCCAAUCUGCCAACUGAUUCCUUUCCUGGCCUGGACCAGUUUCGAGGCAACUACCUCCAUAGCCGGGAUUAUAAGAAUCCAGAUGCCUUCAUAGGGGAAGAGGGUCCUCGUGAUUGGUCUAGGGAAUUCGGGAUCUGACAUUGCUGUUGAGCUCAGCCAUCUGGCUACACAGGUCAUUUUCAGUACCAGAAGUGGUUCCUGGGUCAUGAGUCGGGUCUGGGAUGAUGGCUAUCCUUGGGAUAUGAUGUAUGUUACCCGCUUUGCAUCCUUUCUCCGGAAUGUCCUUCCUUCAUUCGUCUCUGACUGGUUAUAUGUCCAGAAGAUGAACACGUGGUUUAAGCAUGAGAGCUAUGGCCUGAUGCCUUUAAAUGGUUCCCUGAGAAAAGAGCCUGUGUUCAAUGAUGAGCUCCCAUCCCGCAUCGUGUGUGGCACUCCGUCCAUCAAGCCCAGUGUGAAGGAGUUCACGGAAACCUCAGCUGUGUUUGAGGAUGGGACCGUGUUUGAGGCUAUCGACUCCGUCAUCUUUGCAACAGGCUAUGAUUAUUCCUACCCCGCCUUGAUGAGACCAUCAUGAAAAGCAGAAACAAUGAGGUUACCUUGUUUAAAGGCAUCUUCCCCCCACUAAGGGAGAAGCCAACCUUGGCUGUGAUUGGCUUGGUUCAGUCCCUUGGAGCUGCCAUCCCCAUAGCAGACCUGCAAGCCCGGUGGGCUGCUAAAGUAUUUGCAAACUCAUGUACCCUGCCAACCAUGAAUGAAAUGAUGGAUUACAUUGAUGAGAAAAUGGGGAAAAAAUUCAAGUGAUCCCCACCUGGCCCUGGAGGUGUACUUUGGCCCUUGCAGCCCAUACCAGUUUCGACUGAUGGGACCAGGGAAGUGGGAUGGGGCCAGAAAUGCCAUCCUGACCCAAUGGAAAUGGACAGUGAAGCCAACCAGGACAAGAGUUGUCAGUGAAGCUCAGCGACCCCAUCCCUUUUACAAUUUGCUUAAAAUGCUUUCAUUCCCAUUACUCCUUCUGGCUGUUACACUUACAUUUUAUUAAUGAGAAAGUCUUUGAGGUCUCAAAGUUCAGCGUACAAGUGUAAUCACAUAAUACAACACACAAUCACAACAUAGUUCCUCUCUCCUUUCCUGAAGAUAUGAAAAUCAGUCUUGGCCCAUUUGAAUUAAAGUAUAAGUAAAAUGGAAAA